Non-coding RNA from Struthio camelus australis, 361 nucleotides. The record is from RefSeq and is a predicted model, not a curated record. Lineage: Eukaryota; Metazoa; Chordata; Aves; Struthioniformes; Struthionidae.
UUUUAAAAUAAAAAUUUAUUUUACAGUGAAAUCAUGGUUGGGCAUUUUUACUGCAUGAAAUUGGAAACUGCUAGAAAUGAAAAUCAAGUUUCCUGUCUUCAACUAUGGAAGAAAGAAAGAGAGGUAAAAGCUGUUAUUUCCCGAGUUCCUUGUCUGCCUGGGAUUAGAAGACCAAGUCUUUCCUAUUUGCUCUGGCAUUGCCUUGGAAGAAGUUAAAUCCCAUGGAGGCAUAGAUCUACAGGUGGAAAAGAACAACAUGCUCCUUUGGUGAAUUUGCACUUUGUCUUACAAGUUAUCUGCGCUGAAUUACGUCUAGUUUCACCACAUUUUCAGUGAAGUUAAACAAGGUCAUUCAGAAAAU